Chlorocebus sabaeus (green monkey) is the source of this 1937-nucleotide long non-coding RNA. RefSeq lists it as uncharacterized. Lineage: Eukaryota; Metazoa; Chordata; Mammalia; Primates; Cercopithecidae. The record is from RefSeq and is a predicted model, not a curated record.
GGUUGCGGGGCGCGGGACCUGGACUCGUCUCACACUCUCCGCGCGGCCUGCGUCGGGGAGGGACCCGGAGUGACCCUGAGAAACCCGCCCCGCGGACGCCCGGGUUGCUGGGUGUCUCGCGCCGGCUUGCAGGGUCCCCAACGGGCUGGGGUCAGCCCUGCGGAGACCCGGGCCUUGGCUCCCGGGGCUGGCCCUGGGCGUCAGGGGAGACAUCCUGCGAGUGGGGUUUGGGAGCAGCUCACGGGAGCCCUCGCCCCACCGCGGGCAACCCUUGAUGGGCGGCCCCCCAGUCCGCAUUUGGUGUCCGAGCGGGCGCCCCAAGCGGCACAACGGGAAAGGGAGGCGGGGAAAGUGGGCUUAGCAGACCGGUGGACCUCCGGCGCAGAACAGGGACGUGGAGCCGUGAGCGAGGUGUGGGAGCGCGGCCCCAGCCUCCUUCCCCUCGCGGCACCUGUGGCCCCGUUGCCUUACUUGCAAAUAGUUUGUCUCAGUCGUUUCCGUUCUUGCCCUCCCUCAGGAAUACGCAUCUUAAGCGCGUAGAGGGCAGAGAAUUAAAUUAGGUGGCGCGAGUUUGCCCGGAUCCAGCUGCUAACAAGGCUCAGUGCGGAGCUCCUCGGCCAGGCGCCGCCUCGGGAUGCCCUGGGCCUGGAGCUCGGGACAAAAUCUGGGCACCCCAUAGCCAGUUGAUAAUUCAGCAGGCGCCAAGAUUAGCAUUUUGCCUGGAAAACCUCAACGCCACACAGCGUCCCGGAGAAGUGCCUGGCCGGAUGAAAAUGACAAUAGGACAUGAAACACCAUAGGAUAUGAAACAUGAUAAUAUGAUAUGAAAAACUAAAAAUAAUAGCCUGAUUAUCUGAAAAUUGAGCAAUAAAUGUGGUAUGGGAGCUGAGGCAAAAGCCAGUAUUUUUAAGUACUAAGUAUCGUGUAUUAUAUUCCACAGCCAUAACCUGAGUUUCUCUCUCUGUUUUUUCUGUUUUCGUUGUUUGUUUGUGAUAGGGUCUCGUUGCCCGAGCUGGGGUGCAGUGGCACAAUCAUGGUUCAUUGCAGCCUGGAACUCCUGGGCUCCAGUGAUCCUCCUGCCUCCGCCCUGCGGGUAGCUGGGACUACAGGUGCUCACCUCUACACCUGGCUAAUCUUUUUUCUCCCCUCCCCCCACAGAGACAGUCUCCCCUUGUUGCUUAGGGUGAUCUCCAAUUCCUGGGCUCAAAGCACUCCUCCCACCUCCCCUCCCAAAUACAGGUGUAAACCAUCUGGCACGCCCACGUCCCAGGUUUUUCUCUUAAAAUUUAAUAUGGGCCUGGGCGCUGGAUAUUUACACACAGCCAAGGGAAGAAAACAACAGAAAGGACUGAGUGAACUGGGAGAUGUUUGAAAUAGGACCGAAGAGUUUACAUGUACCCUAAAACCUGCUGUUGAAAAUUAGUAAAUAUAAGGUUAUGCUCCUGGAAUGGAUGCAGAAGGAUGCUUUCUUGGCAAUUGCAAAUACUUUCUAAGCAUGAUGCAGCACACAGAUAUACAUGUAUCUGGAAUAAAAAUUACUUGACAGUACUUAACCUAUGUGGGCAGCAUUUCAAUAUUUUUAUUCUAUUCCAUUUUUCCAAAAAUUAUUGUCGUAACUCUAGAAGCUAGUUUUGUGACCCAUCAUUUGAAAAUCACUACUCUAGGGUAAAUACGGAGAAAAAGUUUAUUUUUUUUUUGAGACAGGGGCUCACUGUCAUCCAGGCUGGAGUGCAGUGGCAUAAUCAUGGUUCACUGUAGCCUUAACCUCUUGGGCUCAAGCGAUCCUCAUACCUCAGCCUCCCAAGUAGCUGGGACCACAGGCGUGCCACCACACUCGGGUAGUUUGUUUUUAAUUUUUUAUAGAGACAGGUCUCCCUAUGUUGUCCAGGCGGAGGAGUAAGUUUAUGGAAGAAGGUUUCAGAUCAUUCACUUGAGCA